GUGUUUGUUUCAGCAGCACAUAUACUAAAAUUGGAACAAUACAGAGAGGAUUAGCAUGGUCCCUGUACAAGGAUGACAUACAAAUUUGUGAAGCAUUCCAUAUUCUU
Molecule: small nuclear RNA, 107 nt
Organism: Jaculus jaculus (lesser Egyptian jerboa)
Lineage: Eukaryota; Metazoa; Chordata; Mammalia; Rodentia; Dipodidae
Source: Ensembl